RNAcentral lists this ribosomal RNA (497 nucleotides) under uncultured bacterium. Its description in RNAcentral is "partial 16S ribosomal RNA". It matches the Rfam family "Bacterial small subunit ribosomal RNA", at positions 28 to 507 of the family's 1533-position model. The record is from RNAcentral.
GAUGAACGCUGGCGGCGUGCCUAAUACAUGCAAGUCGAGCGAACAGACGAGGAGCUUGCUCCUCUGACGUUAGCGGCGGACGUGUGAGUAACACGUGGAUAACCUACCUAUAAGACUGGGAUAACUUCGGGAAACCGGAGCUAAUACCGGAUAACAUGUUGAACCGCAUGGUUCAACAGUGAAAGACGGUCUUGCUGUCACUUAUAGAUGGAUCCGCGCCGCAUUAGCUAGUUGGUAAGGUAACGGCUUACCAAGGCAACGAUGCGUAGCCGACCUGAGAGGGUGAUCGGCCACACUGGAACUGAGACACGGUCCAGACUCCUACGGGAGGCAGCAGUAGGGAAUCUUCCGCAAUGGGCGAAAGCCUGACGGAGCAACGCCGCGUGAGUGAAGACGGUCUUCGGAUCGUAAAACUCUGUUAUUAGGGAAGAACAAAUGUGUAAGUAACUAUGCACGUCUUGACGGUACCUAAUCAGAAAGCCACGGCUAACUACGUG